RNAcentral lists this ribosomal RNA (292 nucleotides) under uncultured bacterium. RNAcentral's name for it is "partial 16S ribosomal RNA". It matches the Rfam family "Bacterial small subunit ribosomal RNA", at positions 505 to 796 of the family's 1533-position model. The record is from RNAcentral.
GUGCCAGCCGCCGCGGUAAUACGGAGGGUGCAAGCGUUGUUCGGAAUUAUUGGGCGUAAAGCGCGUGUAGGCGGUUAUGUAAGUCAGAUGUGAAAUCCUUCCGCUUAACGGGAGAAGUGCAUUUGAAACUGCAUGACUGGAGUACGGGAGAGGAGAGUGGAAUUCCCGGUGUAGAGGUGAAAUUCGUAGAUAUCGGGAGGAACACCAGUGGCGAAGGCGGCUCUCUGGCCUGAUACUGACGCUGAGACGCGAAAGCGUGGGGAGCAAACAGGAUUAGAUACCCGGGUAGUCC